Molecule: ribosomal RNA, 221 nt
Filed under: uncultured bacterium
Lineage: Bacteria
Description: partial 16S ribosomal RNA
Rfam family: Bacterial small subunit ribosomal RNA
Source: RNAcentral
CGUGAGCAAUCUGCCGUUCUUGUGGGGGAUAGCCGGCCCAACGGCCGGGUAAUACCGCAUACGCUUUUCUGGAGACAUCUCCUAGAAAGGAAACCCUUCGGGGGCAAGACGAGGAGCUCGCGGCCUAUCAGCUAGUUGGUGCGGUCAUGGCGCACCAAGGCGACGACGGGUAGCUGGUCUGAGAGGAUGGCCAGCCACAUUGGGACUGAGAAACGGCCCAG